This 355-nucleotide transfer-messenger RNA is filed under the name Deltaproteobacteria bacterium. It matches the Rfam family "transfer-messenger RNA". From Rfam's summary of the family: Bacterial tmRNA, also known as 10Sa RNA or SsrA, is named for its dual tRNA and mRNA-like properties. Its role is to liberate the mRNA from a stalled ribosome. The record is from RNAcentral. RNAcentral also lists the same sequence under 2 other names. Lineage: Bacteria; Pseudomonadati; Myxococcota; Myxococcia.
GGGGGCGAAACGGAUUCGACGGGGGUAAUUGAAACUCAAGUCGCAUGUCGAGGUUCUCGCCGGCUCGUAAAACAGGCGGGGCUAAUAGAAAAGCAGACUCUUACGAGUACGCUCUAGCCGCUUAAGGCUAGCGCUCACGCACCUUUUGCCUGCGAGGGUGCGCCGGGCGACGACUAGCGGGCUAGCUGACCAGAGGCGCGGAAGGCUCUGGAAGGCGAAACACUACUUCCGCUGGCUCAGCCCACACCCUGUCCGUGGGGGAUGGAUUGAGUGAGAUUUAAAUCACGGAACAAACAUGUAGAAGCUUGAAGUGGAAGACUUUCGGACGCGGGUUCAACUCCCGCCGCCUCCACCA